RNAcentral lists this ribosomal RNA (515 nucleotides) under uncultured bacterium. RNAcentral describes it as "partial 16S ribosomal RNA". It matches the Rfam family "Bacterial small subunit ribosomal RNA", at positions 28 to 523 of the family's 1533-position model. The record is from RNAcentral.
GAUGAACGCUGGCGGCGUGCCUAAUACAUGCAAGUCGAGCGAAUGGAUUAAGAGCUUGCUCUUAUGAAGUUAGCGGCGGACGGGUGAGUAACACGUGGGUAACCUGCCCAUAAGACUGGGAUAACUCCGGGAAACCGGGGCUAAUACCGGAUAACAUUUUGAACCGCAUGGUUCGAAAUUGAAAGGCGGCUUCGGCUGUCACUUAUGGAUGGACCCGCGUCGCAUUAGCUAGUUGGUGAGGUAACGGCUCACCAAGGCAACGAUGCGUAGCCGACCUGAGAGGGUGAUCGGCCACACUGGGACGGAGACACGGCCCAGACUCCUACGGGAGGCAGCAGUAGGGAAUCUUCCGGAAUGGACGAAAGUCUGACGGAGCAACGCCGCGUGAGUGGCGAAGGCUUUCGGGUCGUAAAACUCUGUUGUUAGGGAAGAACAAGUGCUAGUUGAAUAAGCUGGCACCUUGACGGUACCUAACCAGAAAGCCACGGCUAACUACGUGCCAGCCGCCGCGGUAA